RNAcentral lists this long non-coding RNA (316 nucleotides) under Zonotrichia albicollis (white-throated sparrow). RNAcentral's name for it is "lncRNA (ENSZALG00000006343.1)". Lineage: Eukaryota; Metazoa; Chordata; Aves; Passeriformes; Passerellidae. The record is from RNAcentral.
UCACUCAGUUGGAGUUUUUUGGGAUAAACCACAGGGGGAUUUAGGAGGAUGAAGCUGCCCUGCCCAUCCCACACCUCUCCCACGUGUGUCUCCAUUCCAUUGCAGAUUUUUGGGAUUUUUGGGGGAUUUUUUGGGAUACACCACAGCAGCGCCCUGGCUGAGCAGCGACACCUCCCCACAGAGGGCCGAGGAUGAUGAUGAUGAUGAUGAUGAUGAUGAUGACGGGGCACAGGGAGGGGACCCCGCUGGUGCUGCAGGGUCACACCCAGGCCUUGAGCUGGCGGCUGCAGCCCCUGGCCCAGCACAGAGCCCCCUC